Molecule: ribosomal RNA, 432 nt
Filed under: uncultured bacterium
Lineage: Bacteria
Description: bacterial SSU rRNA
Rfam family: Bacterial small subunit ribosomal RNA
Source: RNAcentral
CGGUAAUACGUAGGGGGCAAGCGUUAUCCGGAAUUACUGGGCGUAAAGGGUGCGUAGGCGGCUUUUCAAGUCAACGCUGAAAGGCUAUCGGCUCAACCGUAGUAAGGCGUUGAAACUGGAGAGCUUGAGUAUCGGAGAGGAAAGUGGAAUUCCCAGUGUAGCGGUGAAAUGCGUAGAUAUUGGGAGGAACACCAGUGGCGAAGGCGACUUUCUGGACGAUGACUGACGCUGAGGCACGAAAGCGUGGGGAGCAAACAGGAUUAGAUACCCUGGUAGUCCACGCCGUAAACGAUGAGUACUAGGUGUCAGGUGUCAAAGCUUGGUGCCGCAGUUAACACAUUAAGUACUCCCCNUGGGGAGUACGCUCGCAAGAGUGAAACUCAAAGGANUUGACGGGANCCNCACAAGUAACGGAACAUGUGGUUUAAUUCG